RNAcentral lists this ribosomal RNA (461 nucleotides) under Halorubrum sp. SH1. Its description in RNAcentral is "bacterial SSU rRNA". It matches the Rfam family "Archaeal small subunit ribosomal RNA", at positions 353 to 819 of the family's 1478-position model. The record is from RNAcentral. Lineage: Archaea; Methanobacteriati; Methanobacteriota; Halobacteria; Halobacteriales; Haloferacaceae.
UACUGCCGAAUUGCGUAUAGGUAGACCCAAGUGUCGCUCAUAGCGCUCUCUUUUUUGUACCCUAAGGUGGUACAGGAAUAAGGGCUGGGCAAGACCGGUGCCAGCCGCCGCGGUAAUACCGGUAGCCCGAGUGAUGGCCGAUCUUAUUGGGCCUAAAGCGUCCGUAGCUGGCCGCGCAAGUCCAUCGGGAAAUCCACCUGCUCAACAGGUGGGCGUCCGGUGGAAACUGCGUGGCUUGGGACCGGAAGGCGCGACGGGUACGUCCGGGGUAGGAGUGAAAUCCCGUAAUCCUGGACGGACCGCCGAUGGCGAAAGCACGUCGCGGAGAACGGAUCCGACAGUGAGGGACGAAAGCCAGGGUCUCGAACCGGAUUAGAUUCCCGGGUAGUCCUGGCGUAAACAUGUCUGCUAGGUGUGGCUCCCACUACGAGUGGGUGCUGUGCCGUAGGGAAGCCGCUAAG